UCUUGCAGACAUACCACCUUUUGCUGUAUCAAUGCCAGAACUCAAGAAGUAAGCAGUGGCAGGUUGGGUCAGUAUUUGCAUAGGAAACCUCCAAGGAACACCUCAGUGAUGCAGGAA
Chelonoidis abingdonii (Abingdon island giant tortoise) is the source of this 117-nucleotide ribosomal RNA. The record is from Ensembl. Lineage: Eukaryota; Metazoa; Chordata; Testudines; Testudinidae.